Molecule: long non-coding RNA, 594 nt
Organism: Rhineura floridana
Lineage: Eukaryota; Metazoa; Chordata; Lepidosauria; Squamata; Rhineuridae
Exons: 2
Source: RefSeq, a predicted model, not a curated record
UCUCCUGACCUCUGGCUUUCAACAGAAUCACGAUGGAUAUCAUGCAAUCCUAUAACACAAUGUUUAUCUUUACUGCACUGACUUUUCUCAUCUCCAAUCAGUCUCAUUUUGGAAAUUCUUUAGCUAAAACUACAGUGAAGAUUUCUGUGAAAAAGGUCUACCAAAUGGAAGCAACAAGAAAAAUUUGGUUUAGAAAUGAGCUGCCACAAAGCACACCCCAGCUGUGGACUACUGAGUUCAGAAGAAAUUCCUCCAAUGGCUCUGCCUUCUACUAGAAAAAGACCCAAGGGCCAAUUAGUACAAUCAGCAGAAUCAAGAGAGGAUUCCUUAACUGAGAUAUUACUGUAUUGUCUGAGCCCCUUCCAUAUGAAGAUUGGCAACCGUACCUGAAGAGUUGAUGGCAGUUCUCUCAAUGGUAUGUCGUGUCAGAUCCACAACCCUAUCCACCUGGAACAUCUUAAGGUCUUCUUCAUCCAAGGCAAUGUCUCCUAAAAAGGCAGCUGUGAAAAAGAAGAGGAGUACUUAUGAGGAAGGAGACCAGUUUUGAUUGCUUGUCUAGACCUUGAAGGAAUAAAAGGAGGAUAUAUUCACCCA